RNAcentral lists this long non-coding RNA (3123 nucleotides) under Setaria viridis. Its description in RNAcentral is "long non-coding RNA (SVIR_LNC000108)". The record is from RNAcentral. Lineage: Eukaryota; Viridiplantae; Streptophyta; Magnoliopsida; Poales; Poaceae.
GGAUGCAUAAUAAUAUUUAUGAAUCUGGAAAAUCCAAAACGACUUAUAAUUUAGGACGAAUGGAGUACUUAAGAAAGAACUAAAAGGGAAAUGUUUACAUUGAUGGAUCAACCCAGUUGAUCGAUUACAAAAUUUACAAAGAAGAUGCAGUGCAACCUAUUGGUGUCUAAGUACCAAAAAAACGGGAAUGUCCCGUCAGCUAGAUGGCACAGGAGUAGUGAAAAAAUGGCACGGAGCCGGGAGUUGCCGAUCCGCCACGAAAAGGAUCAGCACGCUCUCAGUCUCAGCUGCUGGAGUCGGGCCGGCGGAGGUAGAAGAAGAGAGCCGUGCACGCCGCGGCUGCGUAAGGGAACGCCGUGCAGAUGCCCUGGUUGCAUUGCAGAGCAAGCAUGGCCUGAUCAGGAAACAGGGGAGAGAGAGAAGUUCUGGAAAGGGCGGGGAAGACAGAGAGGUAGGUACCACGGCAGCUGCGACGCUUGCCAGAGCGAUGACAGGCCUUUCACGGAGGACAAACCCAAGUGCUAACUGCAUGAAAGCGCCAGUUGUUUUGUCACAGAACAAAAGUCAACAGGUUCUUGUUAAUGUUAGUACUCCCUCCGUUCGGAAUCGUACGUCGUUUUGGCAUUCCUAGGUCUAUAGUUUUUGCUGUGCACCUAGAUAUACACUAUGUCUAGAUAUAUACUAAUCUAGAUUUGGUAAAAUGACCUACAAUUUGGGAGUGAGGGAGUACUAGCUAAGCCCGACUUAUAAGCUGCAAAGGAAGAACAAAAACAAGGUUGCCAUGAUCUGAAGGUCGGUUUACCUGAAUAGGAAGAGUAAGCAGGCACCCGAAACAAACUCCGGCGAAGUAACAGUCUGCUGGUAUACCCUGUUUAUAAUGGCCAAAGAAUGUCAUUGGCAAAUCAUUUGUGUGCAAUAUGUGCUCUAAUAUCUGUUAAGUCAUAGAGUUUUUUUUUAAAAAAAGUUGACUGACCAAUGCGCCAGCUAGAAAUGCUGUGAUAUUCCGUACGCCAAUUGAAAAUCUCUCAACUGCAGCAAACAUCAUAGUCAUCAUCAGUUUAAGUGACAAGCAAAUUUAACCAUCUAGUUUGUCUUUAGAACUUCAGUGUAUUGAGUGCAUAUGCAAUGCCAAUGCUCUACAGAGUUUCCCAUUUUCUUUCACUCAGGACUACAAAUGCUUUGCAAAACUGAUGUGAAGGUUCAGAUGUAUACCAAAGCCAAUUAGGUUCCCGUACUUUUGGACUGCUCGUGAUAUGCUUAGUGCUUUGUCCUUGCCAAUUCCAAUCUAAAAGGACAACUGCGAUUAGAUAUCAGUAAGGUAGCAAUACUUCAUGUCAUAGUUUUGCCACAAAAAAAAUGAUAUUUAUAAUAUAAAACUGAGGAACUAACAAGUGUAUUAUAAAGUGAGACAAAUCCCUGCUUCGCACCUUGCUGCUUAUGCCUUCAGAUGCUUUAGUUUGUCUAAAAAGCUUCCCCAGAAAGAACGGGAUCAUAUCGCUGAGACAAACACCCCUACGUGAAUGAAAAAGUUAAAAAAUUUAACGGGUAGCAUUCACUACUCACUAACAAGAGGAACAACUGUCUACAGAUCAUGGACAGAGGAUGCACGAGCACGAACCAGUAAAUCCAUAGCACUGUAGAAACUAUAUAAGGUGCAUUCGCCGAGAACGAGUUAACGAGAGAUUGCCAGGUUCCAUCCAAUGAAAGUGUACGUGAUAAAGAAAUUCCAGCCUACAUCAUGAAGGGAAAAAUGCUUCUCAACACAAAUAAAUGGUUGAUGAAUGCUUAUAUAUAAAAUUGUGUUUGAAGUCUGACUACUUGUGGAAAAUAAAGCUAGAAACUUAGUUGAGUUGAGAGUGGUCAUAUUGAAGGUACCAGUGCAAAGGACAGACCCAAACAUUUAAAGCUUCUUCACUGAUAAGUAGUCCAAAUCCAGCAGCCAUGAGCAAACAAAAGUAGACCCACCUGAAGAAUUUCAGCAGGACAGUAUAUUAGAAAAAUGGAGCAAAAAAGUUACAGGUAGGCUUCCAUUACAGGUACCAAAUAGAUCACAUAUUUGCAUUUAUUUUUUGAAAUCAGCCUAUGUGGUCCGUGAACUUUCAACAAUCCUCAGUUAGCAUGAUACCAUGGAUUGACUUGAGAAUUUAUUUUUUUCAGAGAAACAUUCCCCUAGAGGCUGUGCACGUUGUUUAGCAUUUGGUAGCAAAUGCAAUUGACAUAUUAUUGGCUGAUAUAAUUUGAUGACCUGUGGUUAAAAGCUCUCCAAGGAGGAACAUUUAUUGACUUAAUUUGGCAGUCCCAUCAGUGACGUGUAUCUAAAAGUUGUCAGGAAAAAAAUAGAAGCAUGAAAAGCAGAAUGAUAACAUGCAGAUAGCCAAAUUCACAUACCCUGGUGUGUACUCUGGAAUUAUGACUUUCUUUCCAAAUGCAGAAAAUGAAUAUCCAAGGGUUGCUGCUGCUGCAUCAGACUGCGUGGAGGCAUCAACUAUUUGUGGCAGACUAAAAGAUGGACCUGAUGAAGGCUGCUUCCUGACUAGUGAAAUUACAGUGACCGUGGCCGCAAUACCGAUAGCAAUUGCCACUUUUGCAAGGAAUGAAGCACCCGGGGUGGUAGAUUCUACUGCUUCCACUGCACCAAUAAUCGCAUUUACAUCUUCCCCACCUGAAGAAGUUUCUGCCCCGGACACUGAUGCCUUUGCAGUCCCGGAGACCAAGCAGGACAAGUUGCGCGAACUGUAUAUGCUUGCAAGAAACACAGAAUAUUUAAUGUAACAAUCGCAUUGCAGCUAACAGUUUCACCUAAAGCCAGCCCUAAAUCCAUCGAGGCGGUUACUCAAAUAUCAUAAUUUGUUCAAAUUUGCAAGAAAUUUCAUGAAUCUACAGAACAGCUAGAGUUCAGACUCUGAUCCGGCUAAAAGAAGCUCCAGAAAAAAAAAAGAAAAAAAAACUAACCUCCUAAUGCGACCGCGUGCAGCGGCGGCGGACCGCCGGGCUCCGGCAGGGGAUGCCGCGCGGUGGCGGCGGUAUAGGCGAGGAGGCGGCGGCGGAGGGGAGCCGGAGUGCGUGGCGACCGACGCCAUGGGAGGAAGGAGGAGGAGGUGGUGUGCGUAUCGGCGCCAGUGU